AACGCACCUUGCACCCUUUGGUAUUCCGAAGGGUAUGCCCGUUUGAGUGUCAUUGUAAUCUCACGCCCAAAGUCUUUGCGGACCGAGGGAGGUGGACUUGAGAGCUGCGGUGGUGACAUCGCUCUCUUGAAAUGUAUCAGUAGACUCUGUUCAUGUGUCGCGUCGGUGUGAUAAUUGUCUUCACUGCUCGCUCUCCGGAGUGACGCGCAUGUUCGGAAGGUCCGCUUCGAACCGUCUUCGGACAUCUUUUGACAACUUGACCUCAAAUCGGGUAGGACUACCCGCUGAACUUAA
RNAcentral lists this unclassified non-coding RNA (294 nucleotides) under uncultured fungus. Its description in RNAcentral is "partial contains 5.8S ribosomal RNA, internal transcribed spacer 2, and large subunit ribosomal RNA". The record is from RNAcentral. Lineage: Eukaryota; Fungi.